Molecule: ribosomal RNA, 690 nt
Filed under: uncultured Acidobacteriota bacterium
Lineage: Bacteria; Pseudomonadati; Acidobacteriota
Description: bacterial SSU rRNA
Rfam family: Bacterial small subunit ribosomal RNA
Source: RNAcentral
GAUCCUGGCUCAGAAUCAACGCUGGCGGCGCGCUUAACACAUGCAAGUCGCACGAGAAAGGGGAGCAAUCCCUGAGUACAGUGGCGCACGGGUGAGUAACACGUGGGUAAUCCACCCUUUGGUGGGGAAUAACCCUGGGAAACCGGGGCUAAUACCGCAUAAGCCUGAGAAGGGAAAGCAGCAAUGCGCUGAAGGAGGAGCUCGCGGCCGAUUAGCUAGUUGGUGGGGUAACGGCUCACCAAGGCGACGAUCGGUAGCCGGCCUGAGAGGGCACACGGCCACACUGGCACUGAAACACGGGCCAGACUCCUACGGGAGGCAGCAGUGGGGAAUCUUGCACAAUGGGGGAAACCCUGAUGCAGCGACGCCGCGUGAGCGAUGAAGCCCUUCGGGGUGUAAAGCUCUUUCGACGGGAACGAUAAUGACGGUACCCGGAGAAGAAGCUGCGGCUAACUACGUGCCAGCAGCCGCGGUAAUACGUAGGCAGCAAGCGUUGUUCGGAAUUACCGGGCGUAAAGAGUGUGUAGGCGGUGCUCUAAGUUCGGUGUGAAAUCUCCCGGCUCAACUGGGAGGGUGCGCCGGAAACUGGAGUGCUGGAGCGCGGGAGAGGAAAGCGGAAUUCCUGGUGUAGCGGUGAAAUGCGUAGAUAUCAGGAGGAACACCGGCGGUGUAGACGGCUUUCUGGACCGU